AAGUCGGUGAGCUAACUCCGCAAGGGGAGGCAACUGCCCAAGGUAUGAUUGGUGAUUGGGUG
Molecule: ribosomal RNA, 62 nt
Filed under: uncultured bacterium
Lineage: Bacteria
Description: partial 16S ribosomal RNA
Source: RNAcentral